CUGAAUGCUUCUUUGAUGGUCUCUUGACGUUGAUGAGUUGAAUCUUCCCUUAGAUGAGAUGAGGAGAAGGACCCACACUCAGUCACCACUGCCGGGUUAUUUGAGAGGGUGAUAUGGAGGCCCUCGCAAGGACUUCCCGAUAAGCGUUUUGGUUUGCAAUAUGCGGCAUGAACCAUGGCCCCUGAUUGCAGAUUUAUAUAGUUGAAUUAUCUUUGAUUUGCCUCAGCCAUGUUCUUUAGGAAGAAAUUACCUGUUUUGAUACCUUUUAAGCAGCUAAGCAAGAGGUUCUCUUAUAAUAAGAUUUUCAGAAAGUUGAUUAAUGUCUAUAUUUCAGUCCAUAUGUUUAUUUAGUGAACGUUUAUUUUAUAAUAAAAAGAAUCUAAGAGAAAGAUAUGAGAUGGGUCUUUUCUUCCUGGGUCAUCUAGACUAUUAGUGCUUUUUAAACGGAUGAUUUUACAGAAUCUCAAAACAAAGAAGAAAAGCCGGCAAAAUAAUGAUAGUUUCUGGAAACAAACCGACCGAAAUUAGCGCUUUGUAUUUUUAUCUAUUUAUUUAUAUUUUUGGCGUUUAUAUAAACUGUAGAGAUCUUUGUAUAGUCGCCGUGACUCAAAUUGUUUUUUUUUUUUAAUUUUCUGUCAUUGGCUUUAUCUGCUUAUCCACUUAUACUCCUUUGUUUCACGAAAGAAGAUUUAGGAGGUCACUUAUUUAAAAAAAAAAUUUGAAAUUCAUUAAACUCUUUAAUGGGGGCAUCGGAAACAGUACAGAAUUUCGAUUACCGGAGAAACAGUCCCUCCUAGGUUACAAGGGCAAAGAGAAGCUAUACAAACAUUUAAAUAGCUCAGUUUCCUCAAAGACAUUUAAAUAACCUUUUUACUAAAUUUUAAAUGCAUGUAUAAUGUUAACUGUGUGUUCAAAGAAACAUUACAACGGCUAAAGACCCGACUAACUACAGGUGUUAAUAGAAAUAGCUUUACUAUGCAUGCUAUUGCUAAUAGAACCAGAGAUGAUUGCCUUCUAUGAUGAUGCGAACAGAUACAUCUCUAACAUGCCUAUGCAAAUCUGAAAAGCCAAAAGCACAUAAAUAAACGAAAGGAAUUGUCAACCUAUUAUUAUCUACUACAUAAGUAGAAUAAAUGUGUUGACAAAAAAAAAAGUAAAAUAAAUGUGGCUAAAAAGUAAAAUAUAAAUAAAAACAAAAAAAAGCCGGCCAAAUAAUGAUAGUUCUGGAGACAAACCGACCGAAAUUAGCGUUUUGUAUUUUUAUCCAUCUAUUUAUAUUUUAGUCAUUAUCUCAAUUCAUGAGUUCUUAAACUUGGUUUUAUCAGUCGUCACUGCUAAACUAUCAUCGCCGUAAUGUAGAUUUGGAGUCCGCACGCUGUCCUCCUCCCAAGGGGCGAUUUCUUACUACAUCUGCUGCAUCUAAAGGCGAAAAGAAACCCGCUCAUAGUGACAACAACAAUGCACCAGCAGUAAAACUGCCAACGGAAAUUGUUGAGAUCACAAGUGACCCUCGGACAUCGGAAGAAGAUAAAGUUGAAAUGCCAGCCGAUGCGUAUGAAAGCACUCAAAAGGGAUGAUUACUAUGAAAGAAGCAACAGUCUCGGAGAUAAAUAAGGAAGCUCCCAAGAAAGAAUGCAGCAGCAGGUUGUUACUGUCAGGUAAAAGAGAUAUGGUAAAAGAGACAUAUAUUAUCCUGAUAGUAACUUUACAGUUCAUUGUGAAUAGCUUGUGUGACUGAUAGAUAUGCUCACAUACCCUUAGAAGGAUCAAGUUUGAUCAUGUCCACGUAGACUCCAGAUAUUUUCAUCGAGCAUUAUGCUCUGCUUUCCUAAGUGAUCACGGAUUCAAGCAGACACGAAGAAGUCUAUAGUCAAAUAUUUAUGUUUCGUUAGUUAAGAGUAAGACCGAGCUAGGGACGUUUAUUUGUGUACUUUUACAAGACAAUUCCCUCACCAACAACUUUAUAUUAAUCAAAGCAUAUUAACUGCAUAUAUUUAUAUACAAAACGUUUUUCUUUACAAUUAUAUACAAACCAAGAUUUCAAUAUAUCUUGCACAUGCAUCAACUCAACGCCCAAAGAAAAACAGAAACACAACCUCUUCACUAUCUUCCUACACCAAGCUAACAUUCUUCUAUCUUAUUAAAGCUAACAUACAAUUUAAAUUUUUUCAUGUUGAUUAUUCCAUAAAUGUCCCUAAUUUUAAUAUUGCUCCUAGACUAUUAUUAGUGGCGUUUUAUCAUUUAACAUAUAUAUACCUAAUCAUAAUAUAUGUUAAAAAGCAAUUGAUUUUUCCAAAAAAAAAAUCAAAGCAAAUAUAAAUAUACUAUCUCAAGUCCUAGAAUUACAUUAUCUGAAUGAAACAUAAUAUUAACUAACUAAAAUACUGCUUCUAUUCUAAAAUAAUACAUGUUUUAGAAAAUAUAUAUCUGAUGCAUCUUUUAUUUUUUUUCAAUGCAACUUUUAAUAGAUAGUAAUGGUAAAUUGUAAACUUCAAAAAAAAAUAUUUGUAUUUACUAAAUUUUGAUUGGUUAAAAUUUAUGGAAAUAGUUGGUCACAAAAAAAUUUACAUAUCAUACUAAGAUUUCUUAUGUUGUAUUGAUAAGUGUGAAAACCUAAAGCAUGUAACAUUUUGAAACAGAUGGGGUAUAAAACAUAUAAAAUAUAAAACAAUUUUAGGGCUUAACUUUCACAUAUACUAAUUAUCACAUCUUAUUUAUUUCAUACAUUAGUUAAAUUUUGUUUGAUAGUUAAUUUUUUUCUAUCUUCAUUUACAGUGAUUAUACAAUUACAUUUUAUAAAUUAGUCAUGCAAUUUCUAUUUGAUUACACAAAAAUCUGUAAUAACAAUAAUUAAAUUAAUUACCAAUAAAUAGCAAAACACCAAACAAAAAA
Molecule: long non-coding RNA, 2892 nt
Organism: Brassica rapa (field mustard)
Lineage: Eukaryota; Viridiplantae; Streptophyta; Magnoliopsida; Brassicales; Brassicaceae
Source: RefSeq, a predicted model, not a curated record